Zootermopsis nevadensis is the source of this 596-nucleotide non-coding RNA. NCBI's taxonomy places the organism in Eukaryota, Metazoa, Arthropoda, Insecta, Blattodea, Termopsidae. The record is from RefSeq and is a predicted model, not a curated record.
UUAUCAUUUGGAUUAUUUGUUGCUUGUGUCAAGCCAGUAUGACCAAAACUAUAUUGUACCCAUGUUUGAAUGUUCGUGUCGUUCUGCGCUUUUUUGUAUUUCUUGUACUCUCGGGAUAGAGACAAAUCCAGACCAAAUAUUUAAGAGGUGUUACUGACUUUGUUGAAGUGAGCAGUGGCAGUGCAUCUGACCUGAUGUGAGAUACACACCAUGUUACAACUGAGGAGACUACCACUGACAAGGUCACCGCCCGCCCUUCGUCGUUUGACUUGUGAUUAACUUCCCAACCCUACGAUUUGCAGCAAAAUAGCGACACACCUCUUAUGUAACGGAGGUUAGGCCCGGCUAUCUUCUCUGCCCGCAUAAUUCAUAUAGCACUUGAUGGAUUUCGACCUAAUUUGAUAUUGGUGGCACACACUGAAGAUUGUCGACCAAAAUAAUUUCUUUUCGUAACGGCACAGUAAUCCCAACUUUACAAAAAGCUCACAUUGAGCUUUAUGUCUAUUCUUUGGAAACAUUUUUGUUACCGUAAGUAAAAUAUUAUUCUUAAGUCGGUGGGACAUACGCCCACUAAGCUAUAAAGGAUUAAUCCGUCU